AUACGUAGGGUGCGAGCGUUGUCCGGAAUUACUGGGCGUAAAGAGCUCGUAGGUGGUUUGUCGCGUCGUCUGUGAAAUUCCGGGGCUUAACUCCGGGCGUGCAGGCGAUACGGGCAUAACUUGAGUACUGUAGGGGAGACUGGAAUUCCUGGUGUAGCGGUGAAAUGCGCAGAUAUCAGGAGGAACCCCGGUGGCGAAGGCGGGUCUCUGGGCAGUAACUGACGCUGAGGAGCGAAAGCAUGGGUAGCGAACAGGAUUAGAUACCCUGGUAGUCCAUGCCGUAAACGGUGGGCGCUAGGUGUAGGGGUCUUCCACGACUUCUGUGCCGUAGCUAACGCAUUAAGCGCCCCGCCUGGGGAGUACGGCCGCAAGGCUAAAACUCAAAGGAAUUGACGGGG
This 398-nucleotide ribosomal RNA is filed under the name uncultured bacterium. RNAcentral describes it as "partial 16S ribosomal RNA". It matches the Rfam family "Bacterial small subunit ribosomal RNA", at positions 523 to 918 of the family's 1533-position model. The record is from RNAcentral.